Molecule: ribosomal RNA, 251 nt
Filed under: uncultured bacterium
Lineage: Bacteria
Description: partial 16S ribosomal RNA
Rfam family: Bacterial small subunit ribosomal RNA
Source: RNAcentral
UACGUAGGCAGCGAGCGUUGUUCGGAGUUACUGGGCGUAAAGAGUGCGUAGGCGGUUUUCAAGUUGGUGUGAAAUCUCCCGGCUUAACUGGGAGGGUGCGCCGAAGACUGGAAGGCGUUGAGUAUGGGAGAGGAAGCGGAAUUCCUGGUGUAGCGGUGAAAUGCGUAGAUAUCAGGAGGAACACCUGCGGUGUAGACGGCUUACUGGACCAUCACUGACGCUGAGGCACGAAAGCGUGGGUAGCAAACAGG